ACGCACGCUGGCGGCGUGCUUAACCCAUGCAAGUCGAACGGAAAGGCCCUGCUUUUGUGGGGUGCUCGAGUGGCGAACGGGUGAGUAACACGUGAGUAACCUGCCCUUGACUUUGGGAUAACUUCAGGAAACUGGGGCUAAUACCGGAUAGGAGCUCCUGCUGCAUGGUGGGGGUUGGAAAGUUUCGGCGGUUGGGGAUGGACUCGCGGCUUAUCAGCUUGUUGGUGGGGUAGUGGCUUACCAAGGCUUUGACGGGCAGCCGGCCUGAGAGGGUGACCGGCCACAUUGGGACUGAGAUACGGCCCAGACUCCUACGGGAGGCAGCAGUGGGGAAUAUUGCACAAUGGGCGGAAGCCUGAUGCAGCAACGCCGCGUGCGGGAUGACGGCCUUCGGGUUGUAAACCGCUUUCGCCUGUGACGAAGCGUGAGUGACGGUAAUGGGUAAAGAAGCACCGGCUAACUACGUG
This 467-nucleotide ribosomal RNA is filed under the name uncultured bacterium. Its description in RNAcentral is "partial 16S ribosomal RNA". It matches the Rfam family "Bacterial small subunit ribosomal RNA", at positions 29 to 507 of the family's 1533-position model. The record is from RNAcentral.